This 323-nucleotide ribosomal RNA is filed under the name uncultured bacterium. RNAcentral's name for it is "bacterial SSU rRNA". It matches the Rfam family "Bacterial small subunit ribosomal RNA", at positions 774 to 1092 of the family's 1533-position model. The record is from RNAcentral.
AGUGAAUAGAUACCCGGGUAGUCCACGCCGUAAACUAUGGACGCUAGCUGUUAGAAGUAUCGACCCUUCUAGUAGCGAAAGCUAAACGCGUUAAGCGUCCCGCCUGCGGAGUACGAGCGCAAGCUUAAAACAUAAAGGAAUUGACGGGGACCCGCACAAGCGGUGGAGCGUGUUGUUUAAAUUCGAUGCUAAGCGAAGAACCUUACCCAGGUUUGACAUCCUACUAAUUUCUCCGAAAGGAGAGAGUGCCUUCGGGCCGUAGUGACAGGUGUUGCAUGGCCGUCGUCAGCUCGUGUCGUGAGAUGUUUGGUUAAGUCCAUCAA